CCUACGGGUGGCAGCAGUCGAGAAUCAUUCACAAUGGGGGAAACCCUGAUGGUGCGACGCCGCGUGGGGGAAUGAAGGUCUUCGGAUUGUAAACCCCUGUCAUGUGGGAGCAAAUUAAAAAGAUAGUACCACAAGAGGAAGAGACGGCUAACGCUGUGCCAGCAGUCGCGGUAAUACAGAGGUCUCAAGCGUUGUUCGGAAUCACUGGGCGUAAAGCGUGCGUAGGCUGUUUCGUAAGUCGUGUGUGAAAGGCGCGGGCUCAACCCGCGGACGGCACAUGAUACUGCGAGACUAGAGUACUGGUGGGGGAACCGGAAUUCUCGGUGUAGCAGUGAAAUGCGUAGAUAUCGAGAGGAACCCUCGUGGCGAAGGCAGGUUCCUGGACAUUAACUGACGCUGAGGCACGAAGGCCAGGGGAGCGAAAGGGAUUAGAUACCCGAGUAGUC
This 446-nucleotide ribosomal RNA is filed under the name uncultured bacterium. Its description in RNAcentral is "partial 16S ribosomal RNA". It matches the Rfam family "Bacterial small subunit ribosomal RNA", at positions 338 to 795 of the family's 1533-position model. The record is from RNAcentral.